Molecule: ribosomal RNA, 273 nt
Filed under: uncultured bacterium
Lineage: Bacteria
Description: partial 16S ribosomal RNA
Rfam family: Bacterial small subunit ribosomal RNA
Source: RNAcentral
GACAGAGGGGGCAAGCGUUGUCCGGAUUUACUGGGCGUACAGCGCGCGCAGGCGGUGGCAUAUGUGCCCGGUGACAGCCUCCCGCUCAACGGGAGGUGGCCCGGGUAGACAGUGUCGCUGGAGGCACGGAGAGGGAGGUGGAAUACCCGGUGGAGCGGUGAAAUGCGUAGAGAUCGGGUGGAACACCAGUGGCGAAGGCGGCCUCCUGGCCGUGACCUGACGCUGAGGCGCGAUAGCGUGGGGAGCAAACGGGAUUAGAAACCCCCGUAGUCC